This 187-nucleotide unclassified non-coding RNA is filed under the name plant metagenome. RNAcentral describes it as "partial contains small subunit ribosomal RNA and internal transcribed spacer 1". The stretch from base 1 to 46 matches the Rfam family "Eukaryotic small subunit ribosomal RNA", at positions 1786 to 1831 of the family's 1831-position model. The record is from RNAcentral.
AAGUCGUAACAAGGUUUCCGUAGGUGAACCUGCGGAAGGAUCAUUAAUGAAAUGCAAGGGUGUUCUUUUUAGAAGCCCGACCCAAAUCAUUUUCACACUGUGCACACUACUACUUACACCCAUUUUAAACCCAUUAUAAGUCUUAAGAAUGUCAACAGUCUCUUAAUUGAGCAUAAAUAAAACAAAA